AUUGAACGCUGGCGGCAGGCCUAACACAUGCAAGUCGAACGAGUGGCGGACGGGUGAGUAAUGUCUGGGAAAAUGCCUGAUGGAGGGGGAUAAAUACUGGAAACGGUUGCUAAUAACGAAUACCAUCGGAUGUGCCCAGAUGGGAUUAGCUAGGAGGUGGUGUAAAGGAUCACCUAGGCGACGAGCCCUAGCUGGUCUGAGAGGCUGACCGGCCACACUGGAACGGAGACACGGUCCAGAUGCCUACGGGAGGCAGCAGUGUGGAAUAUUGCACAAUGGGCGCAAGCCCGAUGCAGCCAUGCCGCGUGUAUGAAGUAGGCCUUCGGGUUGUAAAGUACUUUCAGCGGGGAGGCGUUACCCGCAGAAGAAGCACCGGCUAACUCCGUGCCAGCAGCCGCGGUGAUUC
Molecule: ribosomal RNA, 406 nt
Filed under: uncultured bacterium
Lineage: Bacteria
Description: partial 16S ribosomal RNA
Rfam family: Bacterial small subunit ribosomal RNA
Source: RNAcentral